AAUCGUAGUUCUAAACACUAUGGAAUCUUAGUUUACCAAACUCACCUACAGCCAGAUUUGACGCAACCUACUUGUAAGACAAAAAUGUAUUGAGUUUACUCAGCUUCCCGACUCUACUUAAUAAGUCCAGCUAUCAAGCCUUUUGUUUCCCCUUAAGUGACAGAAACUAGACAGUGUUGCCUCUUAACCGAUUACUCUUCUAAAUAGGCAGACCAAAUAGGCCUAAAUCACACAGAAGUAACAGAUGGAAGGUUAAAACAAACAAUCGUAGUUCUAAACACUAUGGAAUCUUAGUUUACCAAACUCACCUACAGCCAGAUUUGACGCAACCUACUUGCAAGUCAAAAAUGUAUAUGAUGAUGAUGAAGAUCUAACUGUUUCUGUUCCGUAGGUAGCAUUGAAGGUCUUCGGCAUGGUGGGCGGGCCGUUGCUGGGGGUGUUCUCCCUGGGGAUGUUCUUCCCCCGGGCCGACUCCACAGGGGCCCUCGUUGGCCUGGGGGCCGGCCUUGCCACGGCCUUCUGGUUGGCGUCGGCAGCAUCAUGACGCGCAGCGGCAGUGGCGUCCUGCCUUCAAACUGUUCCGUUGCCUGGCUGCCCUCGGGGAACACCACUGUCUCACACGCCAACAUGUCUGCCGUUCCCGCCAUCUUUUUCAAUAUCAGCGCAACGCCCCCAACGCUGAGGCCGACAGGGCUGAGGAGGCUCUACUCCCUGUCCUGAAUGUGGUACAGCAGACUCAGCUGUCUGGUGGUGGUGCUGUUCAGGCUUCUCGUCAGCUUUCUAUCAGGUCCAAUGAAAGAGGAGGACGUGUUCCCGGGCACUGUGUACCCCCUGCUGGGGAAUCUGUUGUUCUUCUGGCCUGAUCGCUACAAGAAGAAGCUGUGUUGUACGGGACAGAGCACGCACGCGGAGGACAGGAACGGAAACACCUUCUCGUUGGACAAAGGAGCCACGGAGGCAGAGACCAAGGUGCUGCUCCGCACCUCGGCCCCCCUUCUUUAAUCAAAAAUAAGUAAAAUAUGUCUAGGCCUAAUAUCCUUUUUCCCUCCUCUAUUGACUUUUGUAUGCGUUUUGUACAUGCUACCGCAAGACCGAAGGUUAACUGGAUGCGAGACGACACAGAAUGUUGUGUUUUAGAUUUCAAUCCAUGUGCCAAUAUGCAAAUCGAGAGUCAACACAGUGGGGGGCUGAAUGAUGUUUUACAUGUUAGGCAUUUCCUUAUUUUUCUUUUACGCUAAACACUACAAUUCUCAGGAUUCUCGUUGUGUUUCCUUUCAAUUUUUUUGCAGAUCAUUUUGUUACUGUUACACCUCGUGUUAAUGGAUGUGUUUGGUAAAGCUGUAUUUGGUUAAUAUUUGCAUUAAUUUCACGUGCAUUGAUGACCUGAUGCUUUGAAAAAAAAGCAGAGUAAAGAUUUUUUUUCACUUCUACACCAUACAACACGAGUAGGUUUUAUUUCAUGUGACACUGUACAACCUAGUAUAUUAUGCAUUAUUUAUCAGCAUUAUGUGGUGACCCAAGAGGAGGAAAGGUCAAACUUUAUGUGAUGGUGUUUAAGCAUGGAGGCUCAAACCUCUUCGACAUGACUCAAGGGAGGCUUUCAUUACAUCCAAAUCUAAUCUGGAUUCAACAAGGAACAUCUUCUCAGCUGUACUCAAGGUGCUAUUCAUGUUGUGGCAGUGGAUGUAUGGAAUAACCGUUAAUCUAUUCAAGCUCUACAACAUGUUAAACACGCAGUGUUGUUUUGUUAUCAACCUUUUCUUGUUAUCAACCUCACAUUACCAGAGGGGUAUAUUAGUGGGGGUGAUAAAUGUUUACAACAAGCCUGGUUAACCGGUUAUGGUAAGGGUUUUACAAGAGCAAGUCAUCAGAGACUGCUGUUGGGUCGGUCAGAAUAACGCUGAACUAUGCACUUCUAGUUCAUUUAAAUUAUGGAAUAAAUGUUUAUAAUUUUUUCAAGUCCACAUCUGACCACUCUAUGUAUACAUUAAAUUCCCCCGAGAAUAGACAGAAGAAAAUUGCUGUGCAGUUGACAUCGAAGGAAAGUUUAUUGCAUUGAUACUUUGCAGGUUCACAAACACAAGCUUAAUUACCAGUUAAGACGAGACGUUUAUUGGUUGCCGCAAGAAAGCUUGUAUCAAAAUGUACAACAGUUAAUGGUGACGCAGAAUUGUAGGUACUGCAGGGAUCUGAACCCAGGAUCUACUGUUUACUGGACAGGCACCUUAACCAACUAUGCUACAUUGGGUACAACACCAAUUUAUUGAGAAUACGGCCAAAGCCGUAUGUAUUAUUCCGUGGCUGCGUGAUGAGAGGAAAAAGAUUGGUACCAUAAGCCAAUUGUGGUAGACUGUUACACAACGUCAUUUUUAUUUCGGGCCAUUCAUUUGAACUAUAAAUGAUACACUGGGCGUUUGUUCCCUCCAAACAAUUUAAAAAUAGGAUUAUCUAACAACAUUUGUUUUAUGUUAUUUAGUAGAAAAACGAAGUGGCUGUGAAAUGGUAGCCUAUUUAUUCACGUUUUUUUUAUUUGCAACCAAACUCCUAUUGCUGGCUAAACAACUAGGCCUAUAGUAAUAUUAAGUCCUAUUGCGA
RNAcentral lists this long non-coding RNA (2595 nucleotides) under Gadus morhua (Atlantic cod). RNAcentral describes it as "lncRNA (ENSGMOG00000031738.1)". Lineage: Eukaryota; Metazoa; Chordata; Actinopteri; Gadiformes; Gadidae. The record is from RNAcentral.